Long non-coding RNA from Dermacentor andersoni, 1701 nucleotides. RefSeq lists it as uncharacterized. The record is from RefSeq and is a predicted model, not a curated record. NCBI's taxonomy places the organism in Eukaryota, Metazoa, Arthropoda, Arachnida, Ixodida, Ixodidae.
UUGUGAUGUCAUCGUUGUCGUUGCGUCUUGGUCAUACAGACGUUGUCAUGCGUUUGUUGUUAUACCGUUGUCGUGAUUUCACCGUGGUCAUAUUCCAGGUUUUCGUCAUCGGAUGGUCAUCAUAUUGUCGUCGUCACACCGUCGUCGUCAUACACUCGUGGUCAUCCCAUUGUCCUCAUGCUGUCUUCGUCACGCUGUCAUCGUUAUAUGUACCAUCGUUCUCAUUGCAGAAUUAUCAUCCCAUUGUCAUCAUGUCCUCGCUCUCAUACCGCCUUCGUCAUUCCAUCACCGUCUCUGUGUCGUCGUCAUUGUCAUCGUCGUGCCGUCGUGAUCAUGGCCGACCAGGUUGGCGAGCGAGAGUAAUAACAAGGUGGGUCUCCGGAUUACAGAGACAGUGUAUGUCGCAUAUAACCGAAGCAGUGCAAAUGUAAGACUUCGCUUUAAAUGAAAGUGUCUUCAGCAAUACAGUGCGUCGCUGCAUUGUUUGAAUGCUAAUCACAUUAACAUCGACAGUCAUCGCGAGACGGAUUCUGUGGGAAUUUUUAUAAUAUAUAGAUACCGCAGGAUUUCUUUAGGACGCAGGAAACGUGAUUGUGUAUAACAUGUAGGAAGUUCGUUGCCUAUGUGUACAGAACGCUCUACAAAAUUCUAAUUGGAAGUUUUGCCCCAACAUUAUUACUUGCGAAGUUCGUUAAUGAAUAUCUACUAAUUACGUAAUUAAUAGCAAUAAAAAAAACAGUGUCACUUACUCCGUUACAUUUGGUCGCUAAUUCCUAAGGCACUCCGACAUAUUUUUAACCCUUGUCUGAAGUUAGCUGGGAAAACCCUCUUUAGCGCAGCCGUCGGCCUCGCACACCUAACAUCGGCAUGGUGCAUAAAAAAAAAGAAAAAAAAAACUAGAAAAGAAAUUGGCAAUAAGCGCUGAAGUCAUAUGCAUUUUGCCACCCAAUCUAUUGCACUGCCAAAUUGAAAUUCACCUGCAUGCGAUUGACAGUUUGGCAUUUGCGGUGCUGACGAAAGUAACAUUUCACGUGCACCAUGACGCAAUCGCAAAACUAAGAUAAACGCCGCCUUAUUCGACCGCAUGCAAAGGGGAAAAAAUAUAAUAAAAAAUAAGUUUUAAAGCAAUGCAGAUACGGUGUUGAGUUAAAAGCGCAUGCGCCCCUGAGCCCAUAUAAGCGGACAACGCGAGCCGCAGCAUGCGCAUUCAGAUCAGCCACCGCGAAGCGCCCGCACGGAGAGCUGGAACGAUGGGAUCCGUGGUCCGCCUGCUACUUACAGCUGUCACCAUGUCGAUGGUAUUGACAGCUGCUGCUUUUCCAGGCCUGUGCAUUCCGGUGGACUACUGCGACGGCAACUGCGUUGCCGGCUACGACACUGCAGGAUGCGAAGUUUGCGUCUGUCCACCUUGUCUGCCUUGCCCAACGGACUGCUACGAUGCGGCGCCGGGUUGCCCCGUGUGCGCGCCGAUACAAGACUGCUUUCAGUGGCCCCUGUCCGUUUUCUUCUGAAAGCUCCAUCUUCUAUAUAUAACGCCGUAAUGCAGACUAUAUAUUCAUUGUAAUGACCGCCCCUUCUACAGGCGAUCGUUGGCGUUUUAGCAUGUGACAUACGUAUAUAAAGUUACCGACUGAGCCUGGUCACCUGACUUACGCAUUCACCUUGCGCAGUUACCGGGAAUAAAAACUUUGCUUCACCGUU